Phellopilus nigrolimitatus is the source of this 113-nucleotide non-coding RNA. The record is from the annotation of a GenBank genome assembly. NCBI's taxonomy places the organism in Eukaryota, Fungi, Basidiomycota, Agaricomycetes, Hymenochaetales, Hymenochaetaceae.
GCUUCGAUAACUCAGUUGGUAGAGUGCAGGUCUCAUACGAAAGUUUGAUCCUCUAAUUGGAGGAGUGAACCUGAGACAUCCUGAAGCCGCAAGUUCGAAACUUGCUCGGAGCA